RNAcentral lists this ribosomal RNA (806 nucleotides) under Amanita sp. Kew 29782-C. Its description in RNAcentral is "eukaryotic LSU rRNA". It matches the Rfam family "Eukaryotic large subunit ribosomal RNA", at positions 119 to 896 of the family's 3401-position model. The record is from RNAcentral. Lineage: Eukaryota; Fungi; Basidiomycota; Agaricomycetes; Agaricales; Amanitaceae.
CCUUUUUCUCCUUUGGCUGUCCGAGUUGUAAUCUAGAGAAGUGCUUACCUGCACUGGACCAUGUACAAGUCUCCUGGAAUGGAGCGUCACAGAGGGUGAGAAUCCCGUCUUUGACAUGGACUGCCAGUGUGUUGUGGUGUGCUCUCAAAGAGUCGAGUUGUUUGGGAAUGCAGCUCUAAAUGGGUGGUAAACUCCAUCUAAAGCUAAAUAUUGGCGAGAGACCGAUAGCGAACAAGUACCGUGAGGGAAAGAUGAAAAGGACUUUGGAAAGAGAGUUAAACAGUAUGUGAAAUUGUUGAAAGGGAAACGCUUGGAGUCAGUUGUGUCAGCUUAGGGAUCAACCUAGCUCUUUUUUGCUGGGUGAAUUUCCUAGUUUGACAGGCCAACAUCAGUUUUGACUGCUGGAAAAGAGCAGAGGGAAUGUGGCACCUUUGGGUGUGUUAUAGCCUUUUGUCAUAUGUGGCAGUUGGGACUGAGGGAUGCAGUGUGCCUUGAAGGCCAGGCUUUGACCAUGUUCACACUUAGGAUGUUGGCUUUUUUUUAAUGGCUUCAAUCGACCCGUCUUGAAACACGGACCAAGGAGUCUAACAUGCCUGCGAGUGUUUGGGUGGGGAAAACCCUUGCGCACAAUGAAAGUGAAAGUUGAGAUCCUUGUCAUGGGGAGCAUCGACGCCCAGACCUGAGCUGUUAGCGAUGGAUCUGCGGUAGAGCAUGCAUGUUGGGACCCGAAAGAUGGUGAACUAUGCCUGAAUAGGGCAAAGCCAGAGGAAACUCUGGUGGAGGCUCGUAGCGAUUCUGACGUGCAA